This is a long non-coding RNA of Hordeum vulgare subsp. vulgare (domesticated barley), 454 nucleotides long. RefSeq lists it as uncharacterized. The record is from RefSeq and is a predicted model, not a curated record. The transcript is spliced from 2 exons. Lineage: Eukaryota; Viridiplantae; Streptophyta; Magnoliopsida; Poales; Poaceae.
UAAACAGCAGCACAAGGAUCCAACUAAACACCACAAGAACGACCAAAAAUACAAUAGGAGGAGGAAUCAAGGAAAUAGUAAAAAACUUCGUUAUGGCUCUAAUCAACUCAAGGUUUGUGUGCUUGAUGGCUCUUUUGCUGAUUUCGACCGCUUGCUUGUCGAGUCAAGUAUCAGGGACGAACAACAUAGGUAUAAAAGCCAACGCGUGGGCGGGCCGUGAACCCUACCAGUACAAUUGUAUGCCUGAAGGCUGUGUUGUUGCCUGCAAAAAACUGGGCUGCGGAACAGGGGUUUGCCAUAAAGACGGUAGUUGCUAUUGCAGCUAGAUAAGACUGCUCAGUCCGCAGUGGUUGCUCUAAUUUGUAGCAAGAAAAAGACCCAGAAUGAGCUUAGGACAUAAUGUUGCGUUGUCUUUGAUUCCUGGAAUAAGUUAAAUGGAGAUUCUUUAUUUUCA